GAUGAACGCUGGCGGCGUGCCUAAUACAUGCAAGUCGAGCGAACGGACGAGAAGCUUGCUUCUCUGAUGUUAGCGGCGGACGGGUGAGUAACACGUGGAUAACCUACCUAUCAGACUGGGAUAACUUCGGGAAACCGGAGCUACUACCGGAUAAUAUUUUGAACCGCAUGGUUCAAAAGUGAAAGACGGUCUUGCUGUCACUUAUAGAUGGAUCCGCGCUGCAUUAGCUAGUUGGUAAGGUAACGGCUUACCAAGGCAACGAUGCAUAGCCGACCUGAGAGGGUGAUCGGCGACACUGGAACGGAGACACGGUCCAGACGCCUACGGGAGGCAGCAGUAGGGAAUCUUCCGCAAUGGGCGAAAGCCUGACGGAGCAACGCCGCGUGAGUGAUGAAGGUCUUCGGAUCGGAAAACUCUGUUAUUAGGGAAGAACAUAUGUGUAAGUAACUGUGCACAUCUUGACGGUACCUAAUCAGAAAGCCACGGCUAACUACGUG
This 497-nucleotide ribosomal RNA is filed under the name uncultured bacterium. RNAcentral's name for it is "partial 16S ribosomal RNA". It matches the Rfam family "Bacterial small subunit ribosomal RNA", at positions 28 to 507 of the family's 1533-position model. The record is from RNAcentral.